GAUGAAGAACGUAGCUAAAUGCGAUAAGUAAUGUGAAUUGCAGAAUUCAGUGAAUCAUCGAAUCUUUGAACGCACAUUGCGCCCCUUGGUAUUCCGAGGGGCAUGCCUGUUCGAGCGUCAUUAUAACCCCUCAAGCUUAGCUUGGUGUUGGGGCCUGCUGUAAUAGAGCAGCCCUUAAAAUCAGUGGCGGUGCCAUUAGGCUCUAAGCGUAGUAAUUCUUCUCGCUAUAGGGUUCUGGUGGAUGCUUGCCAUUAACCUCUAAUUUUCUAUGGUUGACCUCGGAUCAGGUAGGGAUACCCGCUGAACUUAAGCAUAUCAAUAAGCGGAGGA
RNAcentral lists this unclassified non-coding RNA (330 nucleotides) under soil metagenome. RNAcentral's name for it is "partial contains 5.8S ribosomal RNA, internal transcribed spacer 2, and large subunit ribosomal RNA". The stretch from base 1 to 120 matches the Rfam family "5.8S ribosomal RNA", at positions 35 to 154 of the family's 154-position model. The record is from RNAcentral.